CCUGUGCAGCAGCAGCUACUAUAUACACUGCGUCACCGUUCGCAAGCGUGGAGAAUUUUCAACUGGAUCGUUCCUUCUUUCUUCUUCGCUCUCUAUCCCGCUGUUUGCGUCUCUCGAGUAAUCUUCUUCUUCGCAGCAGCAGCAGCUCUUCUUCCUCUUUAUAAACGCAGCUGUAGGCUUCACAGUUAUAUUCGGAGUGUAUUAACUCUUUGUUAUCGAUGAUUUCGAUUAGAUUUACUGUUGGAUCGAACAUCUCGAGUGCUAUGGGCACUGGAGAGUCUCUCGGCAGACACUGACCACGCUGUUCCUGUAUUAUCGACUUUUUAUAUUUAUACAGCUGAAUAGAAAAUACGUGGUAUUCUGAGCUAAUUAUAAAUACUAUAUUCGUAUGAAAUACCAUAACGUUGCGAAGAUCCCCUAAGCCUCGCGAUUCGGCGCGCCUUUUUUGCUGCGCGUCGAGUCUCUCAGCCGCGGAGCGUUUUUUUUUAUCCUUGUUUGCUCUCGGGAGCCGUAUACACGAUUUUUAAUAUAUACGACGGAGCGAACGGAUCAACGUCGCGUCUGUCUUCUCUUAUUUUCUCUAGAUUCUCUAUGGGUCCCAUAUGCGAUCUUUUCGAGCUUAUCGUCCAGGCUAUAGCAAGAUUAAUCGAUUUACGAGAUUUUUCAGAAACGUUUCUCGGAAGCAUUUCAUUCAGGACACGUCCAAGCAGUCGUGUUACGCUUUUUGGAAUACCUCUAUAGCUUCUGCGGGGUAAACAACGCGUUGCGCAAUAUUAUUACAAUAAAAUAGCACUUUGGGUCCUCAGCUUUUUCAGAAAGGCGUAUCGCUUCCUCGAUAACACAGCACACGACCGCAAUGGUACCCUAUAAAAGUCACUGCGCAGCGCGUAUACGAUUCAAUAGCUCGGAUGAUUGAAGCGAGGGCUGCAGCAGCCGAGAAAAAAUGCGAGUCUCGGAUAUAAGCUCGCACGCCUCGUUGACACGCGAGGAAUGCCGCGUAUAUACGAGAAAAAAGUUAUCGCGCCUUCUUUUUCCAUCUGCGGUUGCGGCGACGAUAAAAGAAAAAAUAAGUAAAACGAUGAUCUUUGACUGCAGCAGCAGACGCGAUAAUUUUUCUUCACGCUUUCGAAAAUAUUGUUUGCCACGGGUGUAUACGUGGUUGCGCAAUUUUAAUCGGUGCAGUGUGGGUGUCGAGAACUUGUUUUACAAUUUUUUUUUCUCGAGCGGAUUCUCUACAUAACUCAACGCUAACCGAAUCGUCUCUUUUUUUUUCUGUUACAGGUGAGUCAAUAUUCCGUAAACAAUAUGCACAGGCGUGUUCGUGAGUGUUCGCGACACGUGAACUACGAGGGUCACUCUCCCGUUCGUUUUAUUACGGAGCGAAGAUAACAAGCGGCAGUAAAACGAAAUCGAAGCUUCCCCGGAUACAUAACUCAACUCGAUUAUUCCCAUAUCGGAAAGCUCGGCUCUUCUUCUUCUUCCGAAGUUUUUACACUAUGAAGAAGCUAAUCCAACGUAAUCGAGGCUCUCGAGCCAGACGUCGGCAAACAAUCCAUGUGUGCACGGCUUCUUAGGUUCGCCGAUGGCCAGCCGCCUACAUACACAGCUGAUCGAUAGUCGGCUCGGGUUCGCGGGACGAUAUUUAGAGCGGGUCAACGUCGCCGAUGAAUUUUUGAUAACCGCGACACGGCACGCCAUGUGCUAUUCUCUUCUUCGCUUAUACUCGCGCGCGAGUUUAAUAGCCCAGAGACAUGCAGGGCCUUGAGGGGUUGAUAACUCGCGCCUAUAGCGUUAAAAUUUAACGGACCUUUUUCUUUUCUCUCUCUAUGCAAUAUACCAUUUAAUUCGAGCUUCUAAAUUCGGCCAAUUCGCACACACACACACAGACACUGUAUAGGAAUAAUCUUUCUCCACGCGAAAUUACGCGGUCAUUGUCGCCGUCCGGUUUACAUCACCACAUAAGCGCGGGGGGGACGACGACGACACUUAUAGCAUAUCAGAGAGGGAGACCGAAAGACAGAUGCAAGCGGCGCGACAUUUUCCCAUUGUGCAAUUCUUCUUGCCCUGUGUGAUGCAGCGGCAGAAGUAGCUAACUAACGUUGCGCAGCCGCGAGUUUCGCGCAAUGUUCGCCUCGCAUUAUAAUAAAACGUCGAGUCGUUUUCUUAUAAGGCGAAGCUCGUGCCUACACGUUUUCGGAACGUAUUCCGGGCUCCGAUUCCUCGCGUAUAUUUCGGCGAAGAGUUAAUUAACGGAUUAGUACAGUAAUCACCGCCUGUCGUGUCUGAUAUCCGAGUCGAUGUGUGUACACACGUGCGGAGCGUAAAGAAUCCGCGAGUUUGAACUUUCAACGGCACACCUCUCGGGAUAUUUCUGCAACUGGCCGGCUCGAGAGAGUGAAAGAGAUGCGGCGCGAUUUCGACAUUCCUGUCCGCAGGCGUUCGGUGCAUCGCCGUGGCUUCAUUGAAAACAACCUAUCGCUUCCAUACACACACGCUGAUGAGUUAUAUCGACGCGGAUUUUUGCAAUAACUCGCCGGGAAAGUCGCGUUUGGUGAGCAAAUAUUUUCGGAGACGCGCUGUAUGCGUUUUAUAAGGCCUUAGCUGAAAAUAGAAGCGACGGUGUAUUCUUGUGGUGAUUCACGCGAUUCUGUUUUACACAGCUGAAGUCGAUGCGAGUGAAUCACGAAAAAUCCCAUUAAUUUAUCAUUUCCAUUACGGCUUCGUUCGGUACACACACACACACACACAUCACAGCCUAUAGUCCGAUCUAGAGCAGCGCGCGAUGAAUCACUUUGCGAAAAAAGCUCGACUUCCUUUACACUUUUAAUAAAGAGAACGCUCCGCAUCUAUAACUCGGCUGUGCAACGGAUACACGAUUCUCUCGGUGAAAAUCGCGCAGCCUUAAUCGAUCCUGCCCUCGAAUCGCGAGAGGUGCGUCCGCGCAGAUAAACGUCCGAAAAAAGUCCAUAGGUGUACGCGAGAGUGUAUUAUAUCGACUCUCUCGUGUGCGUUCGUUAAGCCGCGCGUGUAUAACUCGACUUUCAUAUACAACAGCGCAGCGUCUAACAACACGUGUACGUACGUGCGGCUAUGCACAUGUGCACUUAAGUCUGUGUAUAUGUGGUCGAUAAGAUCGAGUGAGAACAGCGCGUUACACUUUCUCCGGUCAGCCGGCGCUGCUAAUUUCGCGGCCCAUUUUCCUCUAUGCUGAGUUUAUGCGUUGUAUUACAUGCUCGGUGUUGUUGCACCUGAUAUUCGCUAUGUUUUUUUCGAUGACGUUUAACUCGUCGUUCUGAGAUGGCUUGUCGUUUAGCUUCAAUUAUACACUUAUACCUUCAUGAAUAUUUAAUAGAAUUUCGCAAAUGGAUUUGUAUUUUAUGUAUAAGUUUCUCGGAUUGAAAGUUAAAUGGGGAUAUAGCACUUGACUUUAUUACGGAGGAGAAGUGGAGCGAUCGGAUUCGUACAUACUAGGUCGAGAGAGUAUAAUCUUAAACAAUAUGUAUUAAUCACAGAAAAGAGUCGGGCAGAGUCGGAGAGAGAUUCAAAUAUUGGUUAUUCCUCUCGAGCAUGACGAUUAUCUGCGUUAAAAGUAGGCUCGCUCGAGAUCCGCGAGACAGGGCUAUCUUUAUCCGCAAUCUCGACUCCUUUUCUUAAUUAUUUAGCUUAAGAAAAAAAACACUGUGCAAACUUUCUAUUCGAUUACUUCAAUUUCCCAAAAGUUCGAAUAUAGAGAAAAAGUGCCUGUAAGAUAGAAUAUUUGAAGGUCGUCGCAACUGCGGAUCACACAGAGUACCUGCCGCGCAAAAAAUCCCUUGAGAGAUUAUCGGUUUCGAAAUCACACUCACGCGUAUACAGACAAUGAGCUUGCGAAAUAGGCGUACGUAUUGCACGGGUAUUUCAGGAAUGUCUAGAUUCAUGUAUGAAUAUACCUUCAGCUGAGAACAUGGAUCGCAUUUUCCGAACAUCGUAUACAAAAUACAAUAAGGUCUUUCACUCCGACGCGCCGAGAAGUAGCGAAACGAGUAUACGGCAACCUCGAAACGAAGUAGUCCAGCGUCUAUCGCUCUCGUGUACACUUCGAUUAGCCAACCUCCUGUAUCGCCGCGCGGAAAUAGAGCCUCGAAAAGUUACAUCUCCUCUGAGGAAUUCGCCUUGAGUGUAAAAAAAAAAUACAAGCCUAAUUUAAUCAGCGUGUAAGCUCUAUUAAUCUCGAAUCAUCGAUGUAAGCUCGAACACGAAUAGCAGUCGACGACAAAUCCUCCGGAAAUCCUCGACACCAUCAAUCUCUCGGGGUCUGCGAAACAGGAGAGAAAUAAAGGGCGUUGGCUGCGUGCGCGUGAGAGACGACGCCCGCAGAGAUCAAACGGCCCGCGCACGUCGUCGGCUUGAACUUGUGUCUUUUUUCUUCUUGACUAUUCUCGUCGACUAGACCGAUUAGUCAAGUGCGAUCGGAUUUUCUCUCCUAACCGGGCACGUGGUUCUGCAUCUCAUUGAGAGGAUCGUUCGUUUCUUUAUUUUUUCUUCACAAUCGCGUUGAGUAACGCCGCGGCGCUGUAAACAGGGAAAGAGGCUUUAUCAGCGCCAGUGUUCUUUUUGUGAUUCAUUCGGAGUUAUGUUUUUAUUGUGCGAGAGUAUGUGACGAAUCUCUCUUUCCUUUUCUCUCUACGCGCAGAGUAUAAGUGACUCAGCAAUCGAUUCUAGUAAUGAUCGCGUAUUACUCCUAUUAAUUAGUUACUCACUUUUUUUAUUGGCACCGACAGCCGCGAUGAAGCCGUUGACGAGUCAAUAAUCGUGAAAAUUAAAAAGCCAUCAUCUAACGGUCAUACAUAAUACACAGUAGUAUACACGAGAGCCUCGUAGUCUUCUUACAUUCCCCUUUCUCUCGUUCUCUCUCCACGACAUACCGACGCAUCAUGCCCAAUUCAACGAGCGCUCAUUGCGCUUGAUUAAUUAAUCUUCCAAUUGGGCCUCAUUAUCCCUGCCGCCGAGGCUUAUCCCAUGCCCGACAUUCCUUUCUCUCCCUUCAGCCCCUUUCUCUCGUCGCGUCGGACGAAGAAAACGUGUGAGUCGUCUAAAUUCAAUGCUACUUCCCUGCUAGAAAUGCUAACGGUUAAUAAGCUAAGUUUUAAGACACUUAGCUAAGUUAUGAUAAAACGAAACUUUUGCUUGAAAUUUGUCAAAUGACUGUUACAAUCCAAAAAUUGUAGGAAAAUACGUUACAAUCGUAAAAAUCCAAAUAUUCGUAAUAAGACAUAUAUACGUUUUAAUGCCAAAACAGGGAAAAACAAUUUUUAACUUAAUAAUAAUACUGAUGUGGUAUUAUAGAUACGCAUCACUAAAAUAUUA
Molecule: long non-coding RNA, 5346 nt
Organism: Nasonia vitripennis (jewel wasp)
Lineage: Eukaryota; Metazoa; Arthropoda; Insecta; Hymenoptera; Pteromalidae
Exons: 2
Source: RefSeq, a predicted model, not a curated record